Molecule: ribosomal RNA, 468 nt
Filed under: uncultured bacterium
Lineage: Bacteria
Description: partial 16S ribosomal RNA
Rfam family: Bacterial small subunit ribosomal RNA
Source: RNAcentral
GACGAACGCUGGCGGCGUGCUUAACACAUGCAAGUCGAACGGAAAGGCCCUGCUUUUGUGGGGUGCUCGAGUGGCGAACGGGUGAGUAACACGUGAGUAACCUGCCCCUGACUUUGGGAUAUCUUCAGGAAACUGCGGCUAUUACCGGAUAGGAGCUCCUGCUGCAUGGUGGGGGUUGGAAAGUUUCGGCGGUUGGGGCUGGACUAGCGGCUUAUCAGCUUGUUGGUGGGGUAGUGGCUUACCAAGGGUUUGACGGAUAGCCGGCCUGGGAGGGUGGCCGGCGACAUUGGGACUGAGAGACGGCGCAGACGCCUACGGGAGGCAGCAGUGGGGAGUAUUGCACAAUAGGCGGGAGCCAGAUACAGCAACGCCGCGUGCGGGAUGACGGGCUUCGGGUUGUAAACCGCUUUCGCCUGUGACAAAGCGUGAGUGACGGUAAUGGGUAAAGAAGCACCGGCUAACUACGUG